RNAcentral lists this ribosomal RNA (689 nucleotides) under Clostridioides difficile. RNAcentral describes it as "bacterial LSU rRNA". It matches the Rfam family "Bacterial large subunit ribosomal RNA", at positions 1189 to 1895 of the family's 2925-position model. Lineage: Bacteria; Bacillati; Bacillota; Clostridia; Peptostreptococcales; Peptostreptococcaceae. The record is from RNAcentral.
UACUACCGAAGCUACGGCAUCAGUAAUGAUGGGUAGGGGAGCUUCCCAUACGGGUUGAAGCAUGACCGUAAGGACAUGUGGACAGUAUGGGAGUGAGAAUGUUGGCAUGAGUAGCGAGAUGUGGGUGAGAAUCCCACAGGCCGUAAACCCAAGGUUUCCAGGGGAAGGUUCGUCCGCCCUGGGUUAGUCGGGACCUAAGCUGAGGCCGAAAGGCGUAGGUGAUGGACAACAGGUUGAUAUUCCUGUACUACCGAUAACCAUUUGAGAGAAGGGAUGACACAGUAGGAUAAGCUAAGCACACUGUUGGUUAUGUGUGCCCAAGCAUUGAGGCAGUCAAAGUAGGCAAAUCCGCUUUGAUAAUGCUGGGAUGUGAUGGGGAGCGAAAUUUAGUAGCGAAGUAGCUGAUUUCACACUGUCAAGAAAAGUCUCUAUCGAGGUUAAAGGUACCCGUACCGCAAACCGACACAGGUGGGUGAGGAGAGUAUCCUAAGGCCAGCGAGAGAACUGUUGUUAAGGAACUCGGCAAAAUGACCCCGUAACUUAGGGAUAAGGGGGGCCACCAUCAGGUGGCCGCAGAGAAUAGGCCCAAGCGACUGUUUACCAAAAACAUAGGUUUCUGCUAAGUCGCAAGACGAUGUAUAGGAGCUGACGCCUGCCCGGUGCUGGAAGGUUAAGGGGAUCUGUUAGAG